RNAcentral lists this ribosomal RNA (481 nucleotides) under uncultured bacterium. RNAcentral's name for it is "partial 16S ribosomal RNA". It matches the Rfam family "Bacterial small subunit ribosomal RNA", at positions 30 to 507 of the family's 1533-position model. The record is from RNAcentral.
AUUGAACGCUGGCGGCAUGCUUUACACAUGCAAGUCGAACGGUAACAGGCCGCAAGGUGCUGACGAGUGGCGAACGGGUGAGUAAUGCAUCGGAACGUGCCCAGUCGUGGGGGAUAACUACUCGAAAGAGUAGCUAAUACCGCAUACGAUCUAUGGAUGAAAGCGGGGGACCGAAAGGCCCCGGGGGAUUGAGCCGGCGAUGUCAGAUUAGGUAGUUGGUGGGGUAAAGGCUCACCAAGCCAACGAUCUGUAGCUGGUCUGAGAGGACGACCAGCCACACUGGGACUGAGACACGGCCCAGACUCCUACGGGAGGCAGCAGUGGGGAAUUUUGGACAAUGGGCGCAAGCCUGAUCCAGCAAUGCCGCGUGCAGGAAGAAGGCCUUCGGGUUGUAAACUGCUUUUGUACGGAACGAAACGGCUCUGGUUAAUACCCGGGGCUAAUGACGGUACCGUAAGAAUAAGCACCGGCUAACUACGUG